CUUUUUUUGCAUUUCCUUCAAAACAAAACUGAUGAACCCUAGCUUUCUCUGCUAGGGUUCCAAAUUUUAGCCGCCGCCGCCGCCGUCGCUCUAAACCCCGAUUUCGGCCUGGCCUCCGAGUGCGAUGGAGGAAUAAGCGUCGGCCUUCAGGUGGAACGCCCUGAAGCGCGGGGCGACGUGCGCGACGUGCGGGGGCUGCUGCGGCGCUGAAGAAGGGAAGCUAGGGUUGUUUUUUUGUUUUUGUUUUUUAGUUCUAGGCUGAUAUGGGUUUGAGAAAAAUUGGAUAAUGGGCCUCAGUUAUUUGGGUUAAUUUUUGGACUGGUGUAAUGAGUAUUUGGUUGGUCUUGUUUUGAGUGGGCCUGGCAAAAUGGGCUACAUCAUUCAGCUUAAGUAGAUUCGUGGCUAUGCUUAUGCCAAAUUCAUUGGUCAAAGUUCAUUAUUAUUUUUCUUAUAUCAGUAGCCACCGUCGUCAGCGACUCGCCUUUCAUCUGAUACCAAAUGCAUCUAUCAACAUCUACAAUCAAGGCUUCUCGAUGGCAUAUGAUGCAAGUCUCGAUGGCAUAUAGCUGGCUCCAAGAUGCAUCUGAUGUGACUAGUGGGAGUAUUUCUAUCAUAUCCACUUGAAUUAGAGGCCAAAAACAAGGCAUGUUAUAAAUAUACAAUGAAGAGGUUUUAACCACGGUAA
Long non-coding RNA from Gossypium raimondii (Peruvian cotton), 685 nucleotides. RefSeq lists it as uncharacterized. Lineage: Eukaryota; Viridiplantae; Streptophyta; Magnoliopsida; Malvales; Malvaceae. The transcript is spliced from 2 exons. The record is from RefSeq and is a predicted model, not a curated record.